CUUGAUACAAUAAUAUUAUUUCAGAGUUGGUGGUUUUACACUUGUAUUCUACUGGAAACAGAUUCUGGGACCAGGAAAAUUCAUAAGAAAAUGAUGUAUCAGGGAGUGUUCCCAGGAAAAAGGACCAUGUAAGGGAGUGACGUGAAACAGAGGUGACUUGGGGAGGGCGCAGGUAAGGCUGGCUGUGGCCGAGAAGGUGUGGCUGGCGGUGGAAAGCACACCCAGAGUCAGUGCCCUCUGCUGGCAUCCGCGGAAGGGGAUCUCAAAAAAGGAGCAGCGUUAUGGAAGAAAAGAAGAGAUAGCUCUGAUUUUGCUGUUUUAUUUCCACAUGGAUACCAAACUCAUCACUCCCUGAAGAAGCAAAAGCAACCUGAAGAGGGUAAGGUGCAUUGUUCUCGCAGUUGGGAGGCCUGGGCUUCAGCCCUGGUUUGGGCAGCAGCAUGACCCUGGGGGGACCCUGGAGGAGCCGGUCAGUCUCGGUGGCCCUCAGCUUCCCCUCAGGACCCCGCACAACCUCAGAGGCAACAAUGCCAAGUAAACAUUGGUUGGUUGACUAAAAUUGUGUUAUUUCAGCACUGUAGGAAUUUAGGUCGUGGCUAACCUCCAAGCUCCCUUCCUGCUGGGUCUUUAACAGGGAGACUUCCUCUCGGUUUCCAUGUUUCUGUUAUUCUUCUAGAGGAGUUUUCUUUUGUGUAUGUGAUUCAGCUCUUCAGAGGGCCCCGUGACAGUCAUAUGAGAUGUGUUUAAUUUUGU
RNAcentral lists this long non-coding RNA (753 nucleotides) under Mustela putorius furo (domestic ferret). RNAcentral describes it as "lncRNA (ENSMPUG00000028905.1)". The record is from RNAcentral. Lineage: Eukaryota; Metazoa; Chordata; Mammalia; Carnivora; Mustelidae.